This 490-nucleotide ribosomal RNA is filed under the name uncultured bacterium. RNAcentral describes it as "partial 16S ribosomal RNA". It matches the Rfam family "Bacterial small subunit ribosomal RNA", at positions 30 to 507 of the family's 1533-position model. The record is from RNAcentral.
AUUGAACGCUGGCGGCAGGCCUAACACAUGCAAGUCGAACGGUAACAGGAAACAGCUUGCUGUUUCGCUGACGAGUGGCGGACGGGUGAGUAAUGUCUGGGAAACUGCCUGAUGGAGGGGGAUAACUACUGGAAACGGUAGCUAAUACCGCAUAACGUCGCAAGACCAAAGAGGGGGACCUUCGGGCCUCUUGCCAUCGGAUGAGCCCAGAUGGGAUUAGCUAGUAGGUGGGGUAACGGCUUACCAAGGCAACGAUCCCUAGCUGGUCUGAGAGGGUGACCAGCCACACUGGAACUGAGACACGGUCCAGACUCCUACGGGAGGCAGCAGUGGGGAAUAUUGCACAAUGGGCGCAAGCCUGAUGCAGCCAUGCCGCGUGUAUGAAGAAGGCCUUCGGGUUGUAAAGUACUGUCAGCGGGGAGGAAGGAAGUAAAGUUAAUACCUUUACUCAUUGACGUUACCCGCAGAAGAAGCACCGGCUAACUCCGUG